GAAGUAGCGGGAGAUAGGCUCUGCGUGUGGCUUGAAACCACAAGGUGGGGGUUCAAUUCCCCCCUUCCUUG
This 71-nucleotide transfer RNA is filed under the name Chamaeleo monachus (monarch chameleon). RNAcentral's name for it is "tRNA-Ser". It matches the Rfam family "tRNA". From Rfam's summary of the family: Transfer RNA (tRNA) molecules are approximately 80 nucleotides in length. Their secondary structure includes four short double-helical elements and three loops (D, anti-codon, and T loops). Lineage: Eukaryota; Metazoa; Chordata; Lepidosauria; Squamata; Chamaeleonidae. The record is from RNAcentral.